AUUAAAAAUCAGGUUUGGCCGGGUGCGGUGGCUCACGCCUGUAAUCCCAGCACUUUGGGAGGCGAGGGAGAAUGAUGAAUCAGCAAAAGAAGAGAAAUCUGACCUAAAGGAAAAAUCUACAGGAAGUAAGAAAGCCAAUAGAUUUCAUCCUUAUUCAAAAGACAAGAAUUCGGGCACUGGAGAAAAGAAGGGUCCAAAUCGUAACAGAGUUUUCAUUAGCAACAUCCCAUAUGACAUGAAAUGGCAAGCUAUUAAAGAUCUAAUGAGAGAGAAAGGGUUGUGGUGUGGUUGAAUUCAAAGAUGAAGAAUUUGUAAAGAAAGCCCUAGAAACUAUGAACAAAUAUGAUCUUAGUGGAAGACCCCUUAAUAUUAAAGAGGGAGGCCUGAGGCGACGGAGAGAGAUGGGGAGCGGCUGGUCGGUGGAGCAGUCAGAACAUUUAUUGAUUAAGUUCGCUGUUUUAUUUGGGCACGGUUGAUGGUGCCCCAAAACAAAACAUCAAAGAUCACUGAUCACAGAUCACCAUAACAGAUAAUAAUGAAGAAUAAUUGAGAUAUUGCAUGAAUUACCAAAAU
This 573-nucleotide small RNA is filed under the name Pongo abelii (Sumatran orangutan). RNAcentral describes it as "processed transcript". Lineage: Eukaryota; Metazoa; Chordata; Mammalia; Primates; Hominidae. The record is from RNAcentral.